AGGAGAUGUAAUGGGGCCGCCUGCGUGAGACACAAGGUGGGGCUUGCUGGAGCAGCUGUUAGAAGAAACAAGCUUUCUGUGCUGUCUUGAGGAUCCCCAUUUGAAAGACAUAGAGAAGAUGGAAACGGGCUGUCCACAAUUUAAAUGGGAGUACCAGAGAGGGAUGGAUGUAGUAACUUGCAGGAUCUGGAUGCAGGAACUUGAAACAUCAGAGGUGUUUGGGGGGCAAGCUAGAAGAAUUGCGUGUGCAAUUUGUUGUUAACCCCUCUACUGCUUGUCUUAAAAUAUUUGGGUUUAUGUGUCCUCUAUUUAUUAAAGUUCUGUUUAAACUUG
This is a long non-coding RNA of Melopsittacus undulatus (budgerigar), 333 nucleotides long. RefSeq lists it as uncharacterized. The record is from RefSeq and is a predicted model, not a curated record. Lineage: Eukaryota; Metazoa; Chordata; Aves; Psittaciformes; Psittaculidae. The transcript is spliced from 2 exons.